This is a non-coding RNA of Cryptococcus depauperatus CBS 7841, 86 nucleotides long. The record is from Rfam. NCBI's taxonomy places the organism in Eukaryota, Fungi, Basidiomycota, Tremellomycetes, Tremellales, Cryptococcaceae.
GCCGGCGUGGCCAAAUGGUUACGGCGUCCGCUUCCUAUAUUAUUGGUGGUAGCGGGAGAUUGCGGGUUCGAUCCCCGCCGUUGGUU